This 492-nucleotide ribosomal RNA is filed under the name uncultured bacterium. Its description in RNAcentral is "partial 16S ribosomal RNA". It matches the Rfam family "Bacterial small subunit ribosomal RNA", at positions 29 to 507 of the family's 1533-position model. The record is from RNAcentral.
AGUGAACGCUGGCGGUAGGCCUAACACAUGCAAGUCGAACGGCAGCACAGUAAGAGCUUGCUCUUACGGGUGGCGAGUGGCGGACGGGUGAGGAAUACAUCGGAAUCUACUUUUUCGUGGGGGAUAACGUAGGGAAACUUACGCUAAUACCGCAUACGACCUACGGGUGAAAGCAGGGGAUCUUCUGACCUUGCGCGAUUGAAUGAGCCGAUGUCGGAUUAGCUAGUUGGCGGGGUAAAGGCCCACCAAGGCGACGAUCCGUAGCUGGUCUGAGAGGAUGAUCAGCCACACUGGAACUGAGACACGGACCAGACUCCUACGGGAGGCAGCAGUGGGGAAUUUUGGACCAUGGGCGGAAGCCUGAUCCAGCCAUACCGCGUGGGUGAAGAAGGCCUUCGGGGUGUAAAGCCCUUUUGUUGGGAAAGAAAAGCAGCAGGUUAAUACCCCGCUGUUCUGACGGUACCCAAAGAAUAAGCACCGGCUAACUUCGUG